GCGCUCUUAGCUCAGUUGGUUAGAGCGUCCGCUUCACACGCGGAAGGUCGCAAGUCCGAAUCUUGCAGAGCGCA
This 74-nucleotide transfer RNA is filed under the name bacterium. RNAcentral's name for it is "tRNA-Val". It matches the Rfam family "tRNA". From Rfam's summary of the family: Transfer RNA (tRNA) molecules are approximately 80 nucleotides in length. Their secondary structure includes four short double-helical elements and three loops (D, anti-codon, and T loops). The record is from RNAcentral.